CCAGAGGGCCAGGUGGCCGCUCUGCCCACGGGUUAAUCCCUGGGGGCGGGGAGGAAAGUCCGGGCUCCACGGAAACACGGUGCCGGCUAACGGCCGGCGAGGGCGACCUCAGGGAAAGUGCCACAGAAAACAGACCGCCCGCCGCGGGUAACCGCAGCAGGUAAGGGUGAAACGGUGCGGUAAGAGCGCACCGCGCUUGCUGGCAACAGCAGCGGCACGGAAAACCCCACCGGGAGCAAGACCGAAUAGGAGUGUUGCGCCUGGGGCAACCCAGGCAGGCCCGUUUCCGGGCUAGGCACUCGGGUUGGUCGCGCGAGGCGUCCAGCAAUGGGCGUCCCAGAGGAAUGGCCAUCGCCCUGCGUAAGCAGGGUACAGAACCCGGCUUAUCGGCCCUCUGGCGUA
Molecule: RNase P RNA, 402 nt
Filed under: Alphaproteobacteria bacterium
Lineage: Bacteria; Pseudomonadati; Pseudomonadota; Alphaproteobacteria
Description: RNase P RNA component class A
Rfam family: Bacterial RNase P class A
About the family: Ribonuclease P (RNase P) is a ubiquitous endoribonuclease, found in archaea, bacteria and eukarya as well as chloroplasts and mitochondria. Its best characterised activity is the generation of mature 5'-ends of tRNAs by cleaving the 5'-leader elements of precursor-tRNAs.
Source: RNAcentral